Small nuclear RNA from Cavia aperea (Brazilian guinea pig), 102 nucleotides. Lineage: Eukaryota; Metazoa; Chordata; Mammalia; Rodentia; Caviidae. The record is from Ensembl.
GGGCUUCCUUCUGUAGUGCUUUUACUAGAAUAAGAAAGAAACAGUGAAGAUUAGCAUGGUGCCUACACAAAGAGAAGAAGCAAAUUUAUGAAUCAUACUUUU